CAGCAGCCACGGUAAUACGUAGGGUGCGAGCGUUAAUCGGAAUUACUGGGCGUAAAGCGUGCGCAGGCGGUUGUGUAAGACAGGUGUGAAAUCCCCGGGCUUAACCUGGGAACUGCGCUUGUGACUGCACAGCUAGAGUAUGGCAGAGGGGGGUGGAAUUCCACGUGUAGCAGUGAAAUGCGUAGAGAUGUGGAGGAACACCGAUGGCGAAGGCAGCCCCCUGGGCCAAUACUGACGCUCAUGCACGAAAGCGUGGGGAGCAAACAGGAUUAGAUACCCCCGUAGUCCCUGUCUCUUAUAC
Molecule: ribosomal RNA, 301 nt
Filed under: uncultured bacterium
Lineage: Bacteria
Description: partial 16S ribosomal RNA
Rfam family: Bacterial small subunit ribosomal RNA
Source: RNAcentral